AACAAUACUCUUCACCAAUAGAAACGUGGGAGUUUGAGUAACAACUUUGUCAACAAACAGCUGAUGUGACGGAACAAGUCAACAACUUGAAUGAAAAGUUCGACAAAUUUCUAGAGAGAUGUGAUUCCAAGAGAUAUGAAGUUAACUUCAAGAAUUUGGAGACACAAACUGAUGAGGUUGUUGAUGAGGAGAAGGUGGAGUGAGAAGUGGAAAAGAUAGAAGAGGAGAAAAUAGAGGAAGAUGAAGCAGAAAAGUUGAGUAAGGGAGAUAAAAAUGAUGAUAAGGAAAAAAGAAGUGGUUCAAUGAAAAGAAAAAAAAGAAAAAAAUAAGAGAAAAGAAAAAGAGAAAGUUGAGGGAGGAAAAGAUAAAGAAAAAGAGGAAGAGGGGAAAGAAGAAAAGAUCAUAUGAAAAAACCCUUCCUCAUAAAAAGAAAAAUCAUACGAAGGAAAAGAAGUUCAAGUAUUGUAUGGAGAUCUUCAAGAAAUUGGAAAUUAAAGUUCGUAUGGUUGAAACUUGGAAACAUGUGCUUGGUGUUCUCAAUUUUAUGAAGAGAUUCAACAGGAAGAAGAAAAAGAAAAGACUAUUAAGAAGGAAGGAU
This 598-nucleotide long non-coding RNA is filed under the name Vigna radiata. RNAcentral's name for it is "long non-coding RNA (VRAD_LNC003652)". The record is from RNAcentral. Lineage: Eukaryota; Viridiplantae; Streptophyta; Magnoliopsida; Fabales; Fabaceae.